Oryza sativa Indica Group (long-grained rice) is the source of this 208-nucleotide microRNA precursor. It matches the Rfam family "MIR812 microRNA precursor family". The record is from Rfam. Lineage: Eukaryota; Viridiplantae; Streptophyta; Magnoliopsida; Poales; Poaceae.
UUUCACCGUCCUUGUCUCAUAUUGCUGCAAGUUUUCACGAUAUUCUGUUUUAUUUGAAAUUUCUUUGUGGUUAGUAUUUUUGUUGUUAUUAGAUGAUAAAAUAUGAAUAGUACUUUAUGCGUGACUUAUAUUUUUUAAUUAUUUUAUAAUAUUUUUAAUAAGACGAACGGUCAAAUAUUAGACACAGAAACUCACGACUACACUUAAA